Molecule: ribosomal RNA, 497 nt
Filed under: uncultured bacterium
Lineage: Bacteria
Description: partial 16S ribosomal RNA
Rfam family: Bacterial small subunit ribosomal RNA
Source: RNAcentral
GACGAACGCUGGCGGCGUGCCUAAUACAUGCAAGUUGAGCGCUGAAGGUUGGUGCUUGUACCAACUGGAUGAGCAGCGAACGGGUGAGUAACGCGUGGGGAAUCUGCCUUUGAGCGGGGGACAACAUUUGGAAACGAAUGCUAAUACCGCAUAAAAACUUUAAACACAAGUUUUAAGUUUGAAAGAUGCAAUUGCAUCACUCAAAGAUGAUCCCGCGUUGUAUUAGCUAGUUGGUGAGGUAAAGGCUCACCAAGGCGAUGAUACAUAGCCGACCUGAGAGGGUGGUCGGCCACAUUGGGACUGAGACACGGCCCAAACUCCUACGGGAGGCAGCAGUAGGGGAUCUUCGGCAAUGGACGAAAGUCUGACCGAGCAACGCCGCGUGAGUGAAGAAGGUUUUCGGAUCGUAAAACUCUGUUGGUAGAGAAGAACGUUGGUGAGAGUGGAAAGCUCAUCAAGUGACGGUAACUACCCAGAAAGGGACGGCUAACUACGUG